RNAcentral lists this ribosomal RNA (406 nucleotides) under uncultured bacterium. Its description in RNAcentral is "partial 16S ribosomal RNA". It matches the Rfam family "Bacterial small subunit ribosomal RNA", at positions 30 to 526 of the family's 1533-position model. The record is from RNAcentral.
AUUGAACGCUGGCGGCAGGCCUAACCCAUGCAAGUCGAACGAGUGGCGGACGGGUGAGUAAUGUCUGGGAAACUGCCUGAUGGAGGGGGAUAACUACUGGCAACGGUAGCUACUACCGCAUACCAUCAGAUGUUCCCAGAUGGGAGUAGCUUGUUGGUGGGGUAACGGCUCACCAAGGCGACGAUCCCUAGCUGGUCUGAGAGGAUGACCAGCCAAACUGGAACUGAGACACGGUCCAGACUCCGACGUGAGGCAGCAGGGGGGAAUAUUGCACAAUGGGCGCAAGCCUGAUGCAGCCAUGCCGCGUGUAUUAAGAAGGCCUUCGGGUUGUAAAGUACGUUCAGCGGGGAGGCGUUACCCGCAGAAGAAGCACCGGCUAACUCCGUGCCAGCCGCCGCGGUAAUUC